AUAAACGUUGGCGGUGUGUCUAACACAUGCAAGUCGAGCGUGAAAGGUCCUUCGGGGCUGAGUAAAGCGGCGGACGGUUGAGUAACACGUGAGAAUCUGCCCUUCAGUGAAGAAUACCUACGAGAAAUCGUAGACAAUGCUGCAUACGUCCCUUCGGGGAGAAAGAUGGCCUCUUUGCUGUCGCUGAAGGAUGAGCUUGCGGGCUAUCAGCUAGUUGGUGGGGUAAUGGCCUACCAAGGCGAUGACGGCUAGCCGGCCUGAGAGGGUGAUCGGCCAGAUUGGGACUGAGACACGGCCCAGACUCCUACGGGAGGCAGCAGUGAAGAAUAUUGCGCAAUGGGCGAAAGCCUGACGCAGCGACACCGCGUGAAGGAUGAAGGUCUUAGGAUUGUAAACUUCUGUUAAGUGGGAAGAAAGACCUUUCUUGAAUAGAGAAAGGGGAUGACGGUACCAUUAUAGAAAGCACCGGCUAACUUCGU
This 479-nucleotide ribosomal RNA is filed under the name uncultured bacterium. RNAcentral's name for it is "bacterial SSU rRNA". It matches the Rfam family "Bacterial small subunit ribosomal RNA", at positions 29 to 506 of the family's 1533-position model. The record is from RNAcentral.